This 505-nucleotide ribosomal RNA is filed under the name uncultured bacterium. RNAcentral's name for it is "partial 16S ribosomal RNA". It matches the Rfam family "Bacterial small subunit ribosomal RNA", at positions 28 to 507 of the family's 1533-position model. The record is from RNAcentral.
GACGAACGCUGGCGGCGUGCCUAAUACAUGCAAGUAGAACGCACAGUUUAUACUGUAGCUUGCUACACCAUAGACUGUGAGUUGCGAACGGGUGAGUAACGCGUAGGUAACCUGCCUGGUAGCGGGGGAUAACUAUUGGAAACGAUAGCUAAGACCGCAUAAUAUUUAUUAUUGCUUGAUAAUUGAUUGAAAGAUGCUAUUGCAUCACUACCAGAUGGACUUUCGUUGUAUUAGCUAGUAGGUGAGGUAACGGCGCACCUAGGCGACGAUACAUAGCCGACAUGGGAUGACGGUCGGCCGCACUGGGAGUGUGACACGGCCCAGACUGCUGCGGGAGGCAGCAAUAGGGAAUCGUCGGCAAUGGGCGGGAGUCAGACCGCGCAACGCCGCGGGCGGGAAGAGGGUUUCCGGGUCGUAGAGGACUGUUGUAAGGGAAGAACGGGUGUGAGAGUGGAAAGUUCACACUGUGACGGUAACUUGCCAGAAAGGGACGGCUAACUACGUG